This 452-nucleotide ribosomal RNA is filed under the name uncultured bacterium. RNAcentral's name for it is "bacterial SSU rRNA". It matches the Rfam family "Bacterial small subunit ribosomal RNA", at positions 29 to 524 of the family's 1533-position model. The record is from RNAcentral.
AACGAAUGCUGGCGGCAGGCCUAACACAUGCAAGUCGAACGCCGUAGCAAUACGGAGUGGCAGACGGGUGAGUAACACGUGGGAACGUACCCCUCGGUUCGGGAUAACUCAGGGAAACUUGAGCUAAUACCGGAUACGUCCGAGAGGAGAAAGAUUUAUCGCCGAGGGAUCGGCCCGCGUCUGAUUAGCUUGUUGGUGAGGUAACGGCUCACCAAGGCGACGAUCAGUAGCUGGCUGAGAGGAUGAUCAGCCACAUUGGGACUGAGACACGGCCCAAACUCCUACGGGAGGCAGCAGUGGGGAAUAUUGGACAAUGGGCGCAAGCCUGAUCCAGCCAUGCCGCGUGAGUGAUGAAGCCCUAGGGUUGUAAACCGCUUCAGUAGGGACGAAGCGAGAGUGACGGUACCUACAGAAGAAGGACCGGCUAACUACGUGCCAGCCGCCGCCGUAAC